This 259-nucleotide unclassified non-coding RNA is filed under the name Hevea brasiliensis (rubber tree). Lineage: Eukaryota; Viridiplantae; Streptophyta; Magnoliopsida; Malpighiales; Euphorbiaceae. The record is from RNAcentral.
GCUGUUGGAAGAAGCUACAUUGCGUUUGCUAAAAGACCUAAGUGAAGCCAAUUCCUCAAUGAGUGCUCGUUCCUUGUCACUGAUUUCUUUUGGGAUCAGAACAUUCACAAUAAAGUGAUGAUCACCUCGAACAAAAGGUUUAUUGAUGUCUGGAACUCCCAUCUUCGAUAAUUUUACUGUGUCUCCAGGCUGAAUCCCAGAGGGAAUUUGAAGAUCCUUCAUUCCAUCAACAGUUUCAACCUUCAAUGUAGCUCCCAAU